Molecule: ribosomal RNA, 253 nt
Filed under: uncultured bacterium
Lineage: Bacteria
Description: partial 16S ribosomal RNA
Rfam family: Bacterial small subunit ribosomal RNA
Source: RNAcentral
UACGUAGGGUGCGAGCGUUAAUCGGAAUUACUGGGCGUAAAGCGUGCGCAGGCGGUUUUGUAAGACUGUCGUGAAAUCCCCGGGCUUAACCUGGGAAUUGCGAUGGUGACUGCAAGGCUAGAGUUUGGCAGAGGGGGGUAGAAUUCCACGUGUAGCAGUGAAAUGCGUAGAGAUGUGGAGGAACACCGAUGGCGAAGGCAGCCCCCUGGGUCAAAACUGACGCUCAUGCACGAAAGCGUGGGGAGCAAACAGG